AUUGAACGCUGGCGGCAGGCCUAACACAUGCAAGUCGAACGGUAGCACAGAGAGCUUGCUCUCGGGUGACGAGUGGCGGACGGGUGAGUAAUGUCUGGGAAACUGCCCGAUGGAGGGGGAUAACUACUGGAAACGGUAGCUAAUACCGCAUAACGUCGCAAGACCAAAGUGGGGGACCUUCGGGCCUCACACCAUCGGAUGUGCCCAGAUGGGAUUAGCUAGUAGGUGGGGUAAUGGCUCACCUAGGCGACAAUCCCUAGCUGGUCUGAGAGGAUGACCAGCCACACUGGAACUGAGACACGGUCCAGACUCCUACGGGAGGCAGCAGUGGGGAAUAUUGCACAAUGGGCGCAAGCCUGAUGCAGCCAUGCCGCGUGUAUGAAGAAGGCCUUCGGGUUGUAAAGUACUUUCAGCGGGGAGGAAGGCGGUGAAGUUAAUAACUUCACCGAUUGACGUUACCCGCAGAAGAAGCACCGGCUAACUCCGUGCCAGCCGCCGCUGUAA
RNAcentral lists this ribosomal RNA (504 nucleotides) under uncultured bacterium. Its description in RNAcentral is "partial 16S ribosomal RNA". It matches the Rfam family "Bacterial small subunit ribosomal RNA", at positions 30 to 523 of the family's 1533-position model. The record is from RNAcentral.